Xyrichtys novacula (pearly razorfish) is the source of this 271-nucleotide non-coding RNA. NCBI's taxonomy places the organism in Eukaryota, Metazoa, Chordata, Actinopteri, Labriformes, Labridae. The record is from the annotation of a GenBank genome assembly.
AAAUGGACGAUAACUACUCCACAAGCUGUUCACCCCCUCCCACAUUAACUUCGUCUACUUCAGCCGCUCCAACUUUCUCUCCGUCCUCCAUCUCCUCACCUGUCUUUCCCUCUUUGUUACGGACUGGAUGGGGUGGAGUCACGUCUCUGACGUAGGACAGCGUCUUAAAGGGACAUGAGACCAUAGCCUACCUACACACAUCCAAAACCAACUUUGAUUUAUUUAUUUUUCUGACACUGAAUAUACCGACAUGAGAGAAAUGACGUUGGUU